ACGGAAGGCAGCAGUGGGGAAUAUUGCACAAUGGGGGAAACCCUGAUGCAGCGACGCCGCGUGAGUGAAGAAGUAUUUCGGUAUGUAAAGCUCUAUCAGCAGGAAAGAAAAUGACGGUACUUGACUAAGAAGCCCCGGCUAACUACGUGCCAGCAGCCGCGGUAAUACGUAGGGGGCAAGCGUUAUCCGGAUUUACUGGGUGUAAAGGGAGCGUAGACGGCUUUGCAAGUCUGAAGUGAAAGCCCGGGGCUCAACCCCGGAACUGCUUUGGAAACUGUAGAGCUAGAGUGCAGGAGAAGUAAGUGGAAUUCCUAGUGUAGCGGUGAAAGGCGUAGAUAUUAGGAGGAACACCAGUGGCGAAGGCGGCUUACUGGACUGUAACUGACGUUGAGGCUCGAAGGCGUGGGGAGCAAACAGGAUUAGAUACCCUGGUA
RNAcentral lists this ribosomal RNA (434 nucleotides) under uncultured Lachnospiraceae bacterium. RNAcentral's name for it is "partial 16S ribosomal RNA". It matches the Rfam family "Bacterial small subunit ribosomal RNA", at positions 341 to 792 of the family's 1533-position model. Lineage: Bacteria; Bacillati; Bacillota; Clostridia; Lachnospirales; Lachnospiraceae. The record is from RNAcentral.